Molecule: unclassified non-coding RNA, 259 nt
Filed under: uncultured Helvella
Lineage: Eukaryota; Fungi; Ascomycota; Pezizomycetes; Pezizales; Helvellaceae
Description: sequence contains ITS2
Source: RNAcentral
GGAAGAAGACUCACGCGGCGCAAAGCGUGGUGGUGUCGGCGGCGGCGAUCCCGAGAGGGCAGCCACCCCGGCGGAAUGGAUGGGCGGACGACUGCCGCGUCCCUGAGCGUGAUAUUUUGCUAUCGCCUCGAGCGCGGCGAGGCACCCAGCCCUGGCCAGUCGCCUCCCGCAUCGGAGAGUGUGAUAUUUUGCUAUCGCCUCCAGAGCGGCGAGGCUGCCAGCCCUGCCACCCGGGCAGGGCGGGGAGACCUGUGUCAUU